This 227-nucleotide ribosomal RNA is filed under the name uncultured bacterium. RNAcentral describes it as "partial 16S ribosomal RNA". It matches the Rfam family "Bacterial small subunit ribosomal RNA", at positions 17 to 235 of the family's 1533-position model. The record is from RNAcentral.
GAUUGGCUCAGGAUGAACGCUAGCUACAGGCUUAACACAUGCAAGUCGAGGGGCAGCGGGAUUGAAGCUUGCUUCAAUUGCCGGCGACCGGCGCACGGGUGAGUAACGCGUAUCCAACCUUCCGUACACUCAGGGAUAGCCUUUCGAAAGAAAGAUUAAUACCUGAUGGUAUGAUGAGAUUGCAUGAUAGCAUCAUUAAAGAUUUAUCGGUGUACGAUGGGGAUGCG